RNAcentral lists this ribosomal RNA (393 nucleotides) under uncultured bacterium. Its description in RNAcentral is "partial 16S ribosomal RNA". It matches the Rfam family "Bacterial small subunit ribosomal RNA", at positions 523 to 918 of the family's 1533-position model. The record is from RNAcentral.
AUACGGAGGACGCGAGCGUUAUUCGGAUUCAUUGGGUUUAAAGGGUGCGUAGGCGGUUUGCUAAGCGGGUGGUGAAAUGUCGGCGCUCAAAGUCGGAAGUGCCUACCGAUAUGGUGGACUGGAAUGACUAUGCCGUGGGAGGAAUGUGAAGUGUAGCGGUGAAAUGCUUAGAGAUUACACAGAACACCGAUUGCGAAGGCAUCUCACGAAGGGUUGAUUGACGCUGAGGCACGAAAGCGUGGGGAUCAAACAGGAUUAGAUACCCUGGUAGUCCACGCAGUAAACGAUGAUGGCUAACCGCUGGUUUAUUCGGAUCAGUGGCCAAGCGAAAGCGAUAAGCCAUCCACCUGGGGAGUACGACCGCAAGGUUGAAACUCAAAGGAAUUGGCGGGG